UUGACUUUCUGACAAGAGGUCUGGUAUUUGACACAACCCUGUAGACUACAAUGCUUGAUACAGCCCUGUAGACUGCAAGGCUAUGUGAGAUCUUUAAAAGCUGGACCUUGAUGUUAACAGAGGGUUCUAGAGGAAGCCAGCAAUUUUUUGGAGGCCUGAACCAUAACAUCAUGUUCUGGAUCUAAACUUUACUGAGGACCUUGAAUUACCUCUUUUUUUCUGGUAUGUUUCCACUCCUGAGAAAAGCAAGAGCUGCAAGACUGACUUAUAAUGUACUCAUUCAAUUAAUCAAGUGAGAGUGAAUCAAACCUUUCCAGGCAAUUUUGUUUGAAGUGUCUGCACUCUUCUCUGCAUCGUAUGAGGUGCCAACACCAGUGGGAGUUUGCCUGCGCAUUCAAAAGGAUGACUCCUUGUCUCCAGUAGUACGAAGUAGCUUCUGAUUUGAGUGAGAAGAUGGAAACUGGGAGGAAAGGGAAGUUGACGGUGCUCCUGCCAGCUGUUGGAGUGAUGCUGCAACACCCCAACCAGGGCUGGCUGCUGGAAGAACAACAGAGAAGCGAGGUGUGAGAGUAUUAUUGGCCAUGGAAGUCCUUCUUUGUUGUAUAAACUUUUUUUUUUUUUUUUUUAAUGUCAGUAUACUUCCUUUUUUAGGUUACCAUGACACUGAGAGAACACUGAACUGCAUUUUGAAACAGGCUUCCUGGUCCAGCGGUACUGAAUAUAGGCUGAUACCUCAGACAAGGUUCUUCAAGGGUUAGGGCAA
This 763-nucleotide long non-coding RNA is filed under the name Cairina moschata (Muscovy duck). Its description in RNAcentral is "domestica (muscovy Duck (domestic type)) lncRNA (ENSCMMG00000011855.1)". Lineage: Eukaryota; Metazoa; Chordata; Aves; Anseriformes; Anatidae. The record is from RNAcentral.